GUGCCCAUAGUUCAAUUGGAUAGAACGCUGGAUUGCGGUUCCAGUGGUUAGAGGUUCAAGUCCUCUUGGGCACG
RNAcentral lists this transfer RNA (74 nucleotides) under Spirochaetota bacterium. RNAcentral's name for it is "Spirochaetes bacterium (freshwater sediment metagenome) tRNA-Arg". It matches the Rfam family "tRNA". From Rfam's summary of the family: Transfer RNA (tRNA) molecules are approximately 80 nucleotides in length. Their secondary structure includes four short double-helical elements and three loops (D, anti-codon, and T loops). Further hydrogen bonds mediate the characteristic L-shaped molecular structure. tRNAs have two regions of fundamental functional importance: the anti-codon, which is responsible for specific mRNA codon recognition, and the 3' end, to which the tRNAs corresponding amino acid is attached (by aminoacyl-tRNA synthetases). tRNAs cope with the degeneracy of the genetic code in two manners: having more than one tRNA (with a specific anti-codon) for a particular amino acid; and 'wobble' base-pairing, i.e. permitting non-standard base-pairing at the 3rd anti-codon position. Lineage: Bacteria; Pseudomonadati; Spirochaetota. The record is from RNAcentral.